RNAcentral lists this long non-coding RNA (547 nucleotides) under Drosophila guanche. Lineage: Eukaryota; Metazoa; Arthropoda; Insecta; Diptera; Drosophilidae. The record is from RNAcentral.
AUUAAAUGCAUAAUUCAUUUUGCAGCUCCAACCUAAUAGGAGUUCGUUAGUUUUAAUGCACUUGCCCGAAUGUCUUUGGGCCAAUGAAGAUAUUUAAUAUUGUAACUAACAGAAGCAGUUCAGGCAGGACGACAUGCCAGGGAAGGAGCAAAGUAACUUUAUUGCAAAGUUCUAGCGAAAAUUAAUUCAUUAGCAUUUUAUUACUCUCCCUCACAGUGAGGCGACAGCAGCCGAUGACGAAGAUUCCCCCAUAGGUACAUUGAUUGCAAAGACAGUCAGCCUCCCACGCACCCCCCUGUUGGUCGUCUUUGCUGCUUUGAUGUGUAAUUAAAUCAAUAAUCACUUUGGAGUCUCCGCCGGCGUCGGGGAGUUUAUUAGUUGAUUGUGCCAGCAGGCGACACAGGUGGAAAGACAAUGCUCCCGAUGGUGGGGAAUUGCUCUUUGGGGCUGCGACGCUUAAAGUGGAGUUCAGGAAACUGUUUUUGGCGGAAACUAAAUUUACAUUUUUAUAAAUUUAUAAAUUGUAUAAAGUAAGACACAGAAUCAU